This is a long non-coding RNA of Eriocheir sinensis (Chinese mitten crab), 1259 nucleotides long. RefSeq lists it as uncharacterized. The transcript is spliced from 5 exons. Lineage: Eukaryota; Metazoa; Arthropoda; Malacostraca; Decapoda; Varunidae. The record is from RefSeq and is a predicted model, not a curated record.
UUAUUUAUUACAGGUUGUGCCGAUACGAAGGCCUGACUCUCCAACGGGUCACCUGCACAGCAAGAGCAAGAGCAGGACCGCCAGCCCGCCUCGGCCCCUCAGCCCGCCCCAAAGCUCCCUCCAUGGCCUCCUGCAGGGCUUGAGGUGUUCAGGCUCCCCACACUGCUGCCCCACGCAGUGCCAGGGCAGUGCCACACCUGUAAUCUGCGGCGCCAUGCCCGGUCUGAGGGCGCCGCUGGACUGGAGUUGCCGGAGCCAGUGUUGACGUCGGACAUGAUGCCACACUUUGAGGACGUAGCGAUCAUUCCUAACCCCGGGGAGCGCGCCGAGGCCAUGCGCCAGCUGAUCAACCGCCUGCCAACCGCCAACCGCCUGCUGCUACAAUACAUGUUCAAGCAUAUGGGACACAUCAUUGCAAGGCAUCUUGUCAGCCGUCCCAGCCUCUCGUCACCCUAUCCCCGCUGGACUCUGGGUAAAGACGUGACCAACCCCCAGCCUCCAGCCUCUUGUCACACCUCCUAGCCUUUCCCCGCUGGACAUUGCUUCGAGACGUGAUGAGCAACAACAGCCUCCAGCAUUUGCCACACCUCCGAGCCUCUCUCCUCGUCAUUUGCCCGGUGGACCCUGGACGAGGAGGACGUGAGGAAGAGGAGGUGAAGAUGAAGACGAGGAAUAAGUGGAUGUGUAAACAAGUCUGGUUUUGAAGUCAACAGUAUCUAAUGUCACCUGAAAAUGUCUGAACAAGAACAAGCGUGUGCUGCAUGGUGGUGGUGGUCGUCAUGGAAGCAGAGAUGCGAAGAUUCAACCGUUUACAGAUUCCACAUGGCAGAAGGUGCAGACUAUUCCAUGGAGUCGACUGAAAUAUGGAGGCACUUCAAAGUAUUGCGACGUAGCUGCAUCUCUGCCUCCGGAACUAAACAGCUCUCGCCCUGGGUACGUACCACAAGCAUUGCCAUAGUUGUUCGAUCCCUGGCUCUUAGUGGUGAUCAUUAAUGGAAGAGGAGCGAAGAAGCGCAAAAGAGAGGGAAAAAAGAUCAGUCGGUCGGCGUGCUGGUCGGUCGGUAGUGGGCGUCCGCGGGGUCAGUCGGCAUGGCGUGGCUGGUGAGUUUAAGCAAAUAUUCUUCCUCCCUGUGCUUGUAGGUCCGCCGCGGGUUCCUUCGUGUUUAUCCCAAUAUACAUAAUGUUGAAUCAUGUACGGACGGGCGGACGGACUGACGGGGAGCUGCUGUACGUGUGUGUGUGUAUGUGUGUGUGUGUGU